Molecule: non-coding RNA, 82 nt
Filed under: Trypanosoma brucei brucei TREU927
Lineage: Eukaryota; Euglenozoa; Kinetoplastea; Trypanosomatida; Trypanosomatidae
Source: RNAcentral
ACACAUGAUGUCAUUUCGUAUUCUGCAAUACUGACAAUAACUUGAGCGAGACAAGACAUAUUUGACUACUGGCAACUGAAAC